GUGGAAAGGGUAGCAUUCGAACCAUGGGGAUUCAGAGGACUUUGCCAAUUCUGCCCCUGCCAGAACCUGAGUAAGUUUGGGCUCUGCUUCUGACUUCCAAACUUUGAUGCCUGAACUGCUAUCUAACAUUGGAAAUUUCUUCAGAACCUGGGACUUCCUCACCCUGGAACAACCAUGCUCUCCUAUGACCUUCUCAUAAUGAGAAAACUGAGGCCUUCAAAGACAAAACAACUUGCCAAAUAUCUCACAGCUAGUAAAUAGAAGAUCAGAAGUUAUCUGCCACCAAAUGCAGCAUUCCCUUCAGUGCACCACCUCUCUUCUAGGUUUGAUGGCCUUCCUUCUUCUUCCAGAUAUCUAACUCCUACCGUCCCAUUUCAAAGACAUUAAGUACCUUUAAGCUACCCUCUGCCUGCCUGUCACCAGCUAGGCCUACA
Long non-coding RNA from Vombatus ursinus (common wombat), 434 nucleotides. RefSeq lists it as uncharacterized. The transcript is spliced from 3 exons. Lineage: Eukaryota; Metazoa; Chordata; Mammalia; Diprotodontia; Vombatidae. The record is from RefSeq and is a predicted model, not a curated record.